This 79-nucleotide small nucleolar RNA is filed under the name Laticauda laticaudata (blue-ringed sea krait). Its description in RNAcentral is "Small nucleolar RNA SNORD53/SNORD92 (ENSLLTG00000016249.1)". It matches the Rfam family "Small nucleolar RNA SNORD53/SNORD92". Rfam says of the family: U53 is a member of the C/D class of snoRNA which contain the C (UGAUGA) and D (CUGA) box motifs. Most of the members of the box C/D family function in directing site-specific 2'-O-methylation of substrate RNAs. The record is from Rfam by way of RNAcentral. Lineage: Eukaryota; Metazoa; Chordata; Lepidosauria; Squamata; Elapidae.
GUGCUGUGAUGAUCUCCUUAUUGGUUUCACUCAUAACUGAAUUUUCUGAUGACACCUUCUCUUGGCUGGGCUGAGACAC